AGCCAAGCCUAAAGUGUCCUUCAGUGGUCAUCAGCUGGGACGACGUGACUGCUGAAAGUCACUUUAGGCUUGUUC
This 75-nucleotide microRNA precursor is filed under the name Branchiostoma floridae (Florida lancelet). RNAcentral describes it as "microRNA bfl-mir-4883 precursor". Lineage: Eukaryota; Metazoa; Chordata; Leptocardii; Amphioxiformes; Branchiostomatidae. The record is from miRBase by way of RNAcentral.